CCUUGUCACAGCUCCCCUGACCUGAAGCAGAGCCCUUCCCAUCACUGACAGUGUUGGGGGUUGAGAGCCCCCCAGCAGAGCCCUUCCCAUCACUGACAGUGUCAGGGGUUGAGAGCCCCUCAGCAGAGCCCUUCCCAUCACUGACAGUGUCGGGGGUUGAGAGUCCCCCAGCAGAGCCCUUCCCAUCACUGACAGUGUUGGGGGUUGAGAGUCCCCCAACAGAGCCCUUCCCAUCACUGACAGUGUCGGGGGUUGAGAGCCCCCCAGCAGAGCCCUUCCCAUCACUGACAGUGUCGGGGGUUGAGAGCCCCCCCAGCAAAGCCCUUCCCAUCACUGACAGUGUCCGGGGCUGAGAGCCCCCGUAGCAGAGCCCUUCCCAUCACUGACAGUGUCGGGUUGAGAACCCCCCAGCAGAGCCCUUCCCAUCACUGACAGUGUCUGGGGCUGAGAGCCCCCCAGCAGAGCCCUCCCAUCACUGAACAGUGUCAGUGGCUGAGAGCCCCCCAGCAGAACCCUUCCCAUCACUGACAGUGUUGGGGGCUGAGAGCCUCCCAGCAGAGCCCUUCCCAUCACUGACAGUGUCUGGGGCUGAGAGCCCCCCAGCAGAGCCCUCCCAUCACUGAACAGUGUCAGUGGCUGAGAGCCCCCCAGCAGAACCCUUCCCAUCACUGACAGUGUUGGGGGCUGAGAGCCUCCCAGCAGAGCCCUUCCCAUCACUGACAGUGUCUGGGGCUGAGAGCCCCCCUAACAGAGCCCUUCCCAUCACUGACAGUGUUUGCAGCUGAGAGCCCCCCCAGCAGAGCCCUUCCCAUCACUGACAGUGUCGGGUUGAGAGCCACCUACAGAGAUUUUCUGUCAGCAGUUUCCCAGUAUUUCAGACUCAUAAUCUGUGUUUAGCACUCCAGUGUUCUCUUGUAAUAGCCAGGUCUGGAAACGACCCAUGGAAAGAGGGGCCUUUGUAUUCUGCUAGAAC
This 973-nucleotide long non-coding RNA is filed under the name Pan troglodytes (chimpanzee). Its description in RNAcentral is "long non-coding RNA NONPTRT011776". Lineage: Eukaryota; Metazoa; Chordata; Mammalia; Primates; Hominidae. The record is from RNAcentral.